UACGAAAGGUGCAAGCGUUACUCGGAAUCACUGGGCGUAAAGCGCACGUAGGCGGACUCGUAGGUCAAUUGUGAAAUACCUGGGCUCAACCCAGGAACUGCAGUUGAAACCGCUUGUCUUGAAUACCUGAGAGGGUGGGGGAAUACCUGGUGGAGAAGUGAAAUUCGUAGAGAUCAGGUGGAACACCGGAGGCGGAGGCGCCUGCCUGGCAGUGUAUUGACGCUGAGGUGCGAAAGUGCGGGGAGCAAACAGG
RNAcentral lists this ribosomal RNA (253 nucleotides) under uncultured bacterium. Its description in RNAcentral is "partial 16S ribosomal RNA". It matches the Rfam family "Bacterial small subunit ribosomal RNA", at positions 524 to 776 of the family's 1533-position model. The record is from RNAcentral.